RNAcentral lists this long non-coding RNA (862 nucleotides) under Gadus morhua (Atlantic cod). RNAcentral describes it as "lncRNA (ENSGMOG00000024853.1)". The record is from RNAcentral. Lineage: Eukaryota; Metazoa; Chordata; Actinopteri; Gadiformes; Gadidae.
UCCAGCUGCAGGCUUGGGCGUUUCCGUCAUGACACAAAAACGCCCAUCGGGCGUUCCCGUCAUGACACAAAAACGCCCAUCGGGCGUUCCCGUCAUGACACAAAAACGCCCAUCAGGCGUUCCUGUAGCGUUUCAUCGAUCAAUCAAGAAGAGUACCCUGGCACAUGCUUUGUCCAAUGGACCAGGGAAGGGACUUUACUUCGCUGACGAGUACGCAAUGUAUUCUACCCUCCAAAAGCUAUAUGAUUUCAGUGAGGGGGACAUGCUCUCUAUCAGGAGUUGGUGGUUGGACUGCUGUUGGAGACCUUUAUACUUGAAAGCCCUGCAGAACUAGCUGGCUCCUUCUCACCCUCUCCAUCUCCCCAUCUCAGUCACACCUUCCAAUCACUAAGCAGUGAAAGGUAUUACAUACUAUGUCCAUACUUUUCUAUUUACGUAUAUUCUCUCUUGCUCUUUCUCAGACUUUUGAUCGAUCAGUGAUUGCCUUUUUGUUUAAUGGUGUGGGUAGUGUUGGUCUGGGCUUGUGUGAUUGAAUUGAAGGUUGAUUAUAAUCCCUGUUUCUCUCCCUCUCUCUCGCUCUCCUUCACUCUUUUUCGGCUCUCUCGCUCUCUCUAGCCCUGCAGGACUAGCUGGCACACCAAGCUCACCCUCUCCAUCUCCCCAUCUCAGCCACACACUCCAAUCUGGCACAACAGAGGACAGGCCAUUCUUACCACCCGAAGUCCUUCAGCAAAUUGUACAAGAGACGCUGAGACUGGACAUGGCGAUGCUUGGCGUGUUCAACAGGGUUUCAAACACAUUCCGAGAACUAAUCAAGCCUCUCCACCCUUCCAUAUAUAUAAAUGACAGUUUGGCAGGGGAC